RNAcentral lists this ribosomal RNA (778 nucleotides) under uncultured bacterium. RNAcentral's name for it is "bacterial SSU rRNA". It matches the Rfam family "Bacterial small subunit ribosomal RNA", at positions 61 to 829 of the family's 1533-position model. The record is from RNAcentral.
GUCGAGGGGCAGCGAGUAGAUUGCUUGCAAUCUACGUCGGCGACCGGCGCACGGGUGCGUAACGCGUAUGCAACCUACCCAUUACAGGGGGAUAACACUGAGAAAUCGGUACUAAUACCCCAUAACAUCCAGGGAGGCAUCUUCUUGGGUUGAAAACUCCGGUGGUAAUGGAUGGGCAUGCGUUGUAUUAGUUAGUUGGUGGGGUAACGGCUCACCAAGACAACGAUACAUAGGGGGACUGAGAGGUUAACCCCCCACAUUGGUACUGAGACACGGACCAAACUCCUACGGGAGGCAGCAGUGAGGAAUAUUGGUCAAUGGACGCAAGUCUGAACCAGCCAUGCCGCGUGCAGGAAGACGGCUCUAUGAGUUGUAAACUGCUUUUGUACGAGGGUAAACGCAGAUACGUGUAUCUGUCUGAAAGUAUCGUACGAAUAAGGAUCGGCUAACUCCGUGCCAGCAGCCGCGGUAAUACGGAGGAUUCAAGCGUUAUCCGGAUUUAUUGGGUUUAAAGGGUGCGUAGGCGGUCGGAUAAGUUAGAGGUGAAAUCCCGAGGCUCAACUUCGGAAUUGCCUCUGAUACUGUUCGGCUAGAGAGUAGUUGCGGUAGGCGGAAUGUAUGGUGUAGCGGUGAAAUGCUUAGAGAUCAUACAGAACACCGAUUGCGAAGGCAGCUUGCCAAGCUACUUCUGACGUUGAGGCACGAAAGCGUGGGGAGCAAACAGGAUUAGAUACCCUGGUAGUCCACGCAGUAAACGAUGAUAACUCGUUGUCGGCGA